UACGUAGGGUGCCAGCGUUAUCCGGAAUUAUUGGGCGUAAAGAGCUCGUAGGCGGUUUGUCGCGUCUGCCGUGAAAGUCCGGGGCUCAACUCCGGAUCUGCGGUGGGUACGGGCAGACUAGAGUGAUGUAGGGGAGACUGGAAUUCCUGGUGUAGCGGUGAAAUGCGCAGAUAUCAGGAGGAACACCGAUGGCGAAGGCAGGUCUCUGGGCAUUAACUGACGCUGAGGAGCGAAAGCAUGGGGAGCGAACAGG
Molecule: ribosomal RNA, 253 nt
Filed under: uncultured bacterium
Lineage: Bacteria
Description: partial 16S ribosomal RNA
Rfam family: Bacterial small subunit ribosomal RNA
Source: RNAcentral